Lepisosteus oculatus (spotted gar) is the source of this 867-nucleotide non-coding RNA. Lineage: Eukaryota; Metazoa; Chordata; Actinopteri; Semionotiformes; Lepisosteidae. The record is from RefSeq and is a predicted model, not a curated record.
CACUGGGAGUCUGACUGACAGCACUGUCACACCUGGACUGGAUCAGACUGCUGCACACUGGGAGACUGACUGACAACACUGUCACACCUGGAGUGGAUCAGACUGCUGGGCACUGGGAGUCUGACAGCACUGUCACACCUGGAGUGGAUCAGACUGCUGCGCACUUACAAGAAGCUGAGUGCAGGCCGGGCUGGAGUCUUGAAUUAAAGAGACCCCCUUAGUGUAUUUAAUUUGUGUAUUAUUUUGAUGUUGUAUUUCACUACUGCUGGUCCUACAGGGGUGUAUUUUAAUGUUUACAGUUAAAAAAGCGAUUUUGCUUAUUUAACUCGUUGUUGCUGCUGCUAUGUGUUAAUAUUUUUGGUGUUUCCUCAAUAUCUCUGUCCUGGAGCCUACGUGCACAGAAGCCUUUCAUUGCGCUUGUGCAGAUGACCGUGAACUGAAGUGAGUUCUUAAUGAGAAACAGGUUGGAAAAACCAAGCGGGCGGGCGCGCUAUAGAGACCAGUCUCUGAUUGGUCAGACGCUGCUGAGUGACAGGGGUUUCCACCUAUUAGAGGAGCUGUUUCCCCAGCCGGGCUAUUUGAACCCGUGGGAGGGGUGUACUCGUCAUUUUUGUUGUGAUGUGUUUUAAAGCAAACAGGUGCUUUGCUUUUACUGCAAGAACAAACGUGUUUUUCAAGGGGGCAGCACAGCUCAGACUGACCCAGUGUUCCCUGUAAUAGAAGAUUACUGGCUGCUCACUGUGCUGCUUAUUCUGUGUGAUGGACAGACACUGUACUGGGUGGGCUCCUGAGAAGACUGCCGAACCCAGAAGAGGGAAUGUAAUUAGAGAGGAGGGACAGUGAGGUGAGCUGAUCAUUGUCUUGAUG